This 1519-nucleotide ribosomal RNA is filed under the name Salmonella enterica. Its description in RNAcentral is "partial 23S ribosomal RNA". The record is from RNAcentral. Lineage: Bacteria; Pseudomonadati; Pseudomonadota; Gammaproteobacteria; Enterobacterales; Enterobacteriaceae.
AGCGGGUGAAAAGCCCGCUCGCCGGAAGACCAAGGGUUCCUGUCCAACGUUAAUCGGGGCAGGGUGAGUCGACCCCUAAGGCGAGGCCGAAAGGCGUAGUCGAUGGGAAACGGGUUAAUAUUCCCGUACUUGGUGUUACUGCGAAGGGGGGACGGAGAAGGCUAUGUUGGCCGGGCGACGGUUGUCCCGGUUUAAGCGUGUAGGUGUGUGUUCCAGGUAAAUCCGGUUCACUUUAACACUGAGGCGUGACGACGAGGCACUACGGUGCUGAAGCAACAAAUGCCCUGCUUCCAGGAAAAGCCUCUAAGCAUCAGGUAACAUCAAAUCGUACCCCAAACCGACACAGGUGGUCAGGUAGAGAAUACCAAGGCGCUUGAGAGAACUCGGGUGAAGGAACUAGGCAAAAUGGUGCCGUAACUUCGGGAGAAGGCACGCUGACACGUAGGUGAAGUGAUUUACUCACGGAGCUGAAGUCAGUCGAAGAUACCAGCUGGCUGCAACUGUUUAUUAAAAACACAGCACUGUGCAAACACGAAAGUGGACGUAUACGGUGUGACGCCUGCCCGGUGCCGGAAGGUUAAUUGAUGGGGUCAGCGCAAGCGAAGCUCCUGAUCGAAGCCCCGGUAAACGGCGGCCGUAACUAUAACGGUCCUAAGGUAGCGAAAUUCCUUGUCGGGUAAGUUCCGACCUGCACGAAUGGCGUAAUGAUGGCCAGGCUGUCUCCACCCGAGACUCAGUGAAAUUGAACUCGCUGUGAAGAUGCAGUGUACCCGCGGCAAGACGGAAAGACCCCGUGAACCUUUACUAUAGCUUGACACUGAACAUUGAGCCUUGAUGUGUAGGAUAGGUGGGAGGCUUUGAAGUGUGGACGCCAGUCUGCAUGGAGCCGACCUUGAAAUACCACCCUUUAAUGUUUGAUGUUCUAACGUGGACCCGURAUCCGGGUUGCGGACAGUGUCUGGUGGGUAGUUUGACUGGGGCGGUCUCCUCCUAAAGAGUAACGGAGGAGCACGAAGGUUGGCUAAUCCUGGUCGGACAUCAGGAGGUUAGUGCAAUGGCAUAAGCCAGCUUGACUGCGAGCGUGACGGCGCGAGCAGGUGCGAAAGCAGGUCAUAGUGAUCCGGUGGUUCUGAAUGGAAGGGCCAUCGCUCAACGGAUAAAAGGUACUCCGGGGAUAACAGGCUGAUACCGCCCAAGAGUUCAUAUCGACGGCGGUGUUUGGCACCUCGAUGUCGGCUCAUCACAUCCUGGGGCUGAAGUAGGUCCCAAGGGUAUGGCUGUUCGCCAUUUAAAGUGGUACGCGAGCUGGGUUUAGAACGUCGUGAGACAGUUCGGUCCCUAUCUGCCGUGGGCGCUGGAGAACUGAGGGGGGCUGCUCCUAGUACGAGAGGACCGGAGUGGACGCAUCACUGGUGUUCGGGUUGUCAUGCCAAUGGCACUGCCCGGUAGCUAAAUGCGGAAGAGAUAAGUGCUGAAAGCAUCUAAGCACGAAACUUGCCCCGAGAUGAGUUCUCCCUGA